Molecule: non-coding RNA, 25 nt
Filed under: Mus musculus (house mouse)
Lineage: Eukaryota; Metazoa; Chordata; Mammalia; Rodentia; Muridae
Source: RNAcentral
UAGCUCCGUGGCUGUGGUCCCCUGC